Long non-coding RNA from Leopardus geoffroyi (Geoffroy's cat), 328 nucleotides. RefSeq lists it as uncharacterized. The transcript has 2 exons. The record is from RefSeq and is a predicted model, not a curated record. Lineage: Eukaryota; Metazoa; Chordata; Mammalia; Carnivora; Felidae.
CGGUGGCAAGAUUCCCUACGAUAAUGGCAUCUUAGUAAAACCUAAAGGAAAUAGAUGAAGGAGGAGGAGAGGAACAUUCUAGGCUGAGGGAUGAACAAAGGUCCUCAGGCAGGAAGGACACAAACAUUUAAGAAACUAAAAGGAAUCAGGAUUUCCUGGAGAGUGCCAAGGUGACCAGAGGAAUAUCCCACACCACAGUAAAUGCCCAAUGAAGGAAGGCGUUAGCCAAGGGGAGAGGUGCUGAAAGAACAGCUCCCUGGCAUCUCCUAAACUUGGGACAACGGCUACAGUUUUUCCUCCUUGGUAAAUUCUUCCUUGUUCAUUUUUA